GUGUGUGACCCUAUAGAUUUUAUUCUGUCUGGUAGUGUGAUAUAUUAUGAUCCCUAUCAUAAUAUCAUUAAAACUCCUUUCAAUGGGUUGGAACCAUUUCAAUUUUGCCUAUCAAGGAUCAUUGAUCAUCGAGAUGAUGCUCGUAGGUUUCACAAUCCACUAGUGACACCUAACAGUAUGUAGUGGUAACCCUGCAGAAUAAAAGGUGAUGAACCUCUAGGUGCAGUUAAUGUAUGAUAUAGUCCCU
Molecule: long non-coding RNA, 247 nt
Filed under: Elaeis guineensis (African oil palm)
Lineage: Eukaryota; Viridiplantae; Streptophyta; Magnoliopsida; Arecales; Arecaceae
Description: long non-coding RNA (EGUI_LNC067525)
Source: RNAcentral